RNAcentral lists this ribosomal RNA (253 nucleotides) under uncultured bacterium. Its description in RNAcentral is "partial 16S ribosomal RNA". It matches the Rfam family "Bacterial small subunit ribosomal RNA", at positions 524 to 776 of the family's 1533-position model. The record is from RNAcentral.
UACGUAGGUGGCAAGCGUUGUUCGGAAUUAUUGGGCGUAAAGGGCGCGCAGGCGGUUUCUUAAGUCUGAUGUGAAAGCCCACGGCUCAACCGUGGAGGGUCAUUGGAAACUGGGGAACUUGAGUGCAGAAGAGAAAAGCGGAAUUCCACGUGUAGCGGUGAAAUGCGUAGAGAUGUGGAGGAACACCAGUGGCGAAGGCGGCUUUUUGGUCUGUAACUGACGCUGAGGCGCGAAAGCGUGGGGAGCAAACAGG